AUAACUUACAAAAAUAGGUAG
RNAcentral lists this small nuclear RNA (21 nucleotides) under Arabidopsis thaliana (thale cress). RNAcentral describes it as "snRNA_18698". The record is from RNAcentral. Lineage: Eukaryota; Viridiplantae; Streptophyta; Magnoliopsida; Brassicales; Brassicaceae.